This 253-nucleotide ribosomal RNA is filed under the name uncultured bacterium. RNAcentral's name for it is "partial 16S ribosomal RNA". It matches the Rfam family "Bacterial small subunit ribosomal RNA", at positions 524 to 776 of the family's 1533-position model. The record is from RNAcentral.
UACGUAGGGUGCGAGCGUUAAUCGGAAUUACUGGGCGUAAAGCGUGCGCAGGCGGUUCUCCAAGUCCGUUGUGAAAGCCCCGGGCUCAACCUGGGAAUGGCAGUGGAAACUAGGGGACUGGAAUCUGGCAGAGGGGGGUGGAAUGCCGCGUGUAGCAGUGAAAUGCGUAGAGAUGCGGCGGAACACCGAUGGCGAAGGCAGCCCCCUGGGCUGAGAUUGACGCUCAGGCACGAAAGCGUGGGGGGCAAACAGG